UGAGGGUUGUAAAGCACUUUCAAUGGUGAAGAAGGGUUCGCAUCUAAUAGGUGUGAGCUUUGACGUUAACUUUAGAAGAAGCACCGGCUAACUCCGUGCCAGCAGCCGCGGUAAUACGGAGGGUGCAAGCGUUAAUCGGAAUUACUGGGCGUAAAGCGCGCGUAGGCGGUUGUUUAAGUCAGAUGUGAAAUCCCCGGGCUCAACCUGGGAAUGGCCUCUGAUACUGGGCAACUAGAGUUUGGAAGAGGGAAGUAGAAUUUCAGGUGUAGCGGUGAAAUGCAUAGAGAUCUGAAGGAAUACCAGUGGCGAAGGCGACUUCCUGGUCCAGAACUGACGCUGAGGUGCGAAAGCGUGGGUAGCAAACGGGAUUAGAUACCCCGGUAGUCCACGCUGUAAACGAUGUCAACUAGCCGUUGGGCGCCUAGUGCGCUUAGUGGCGCAGCUAACGCAUUAAGUUGACCGCCUGGGGAGUACGGUCGCAAGACUAAAACUCAAAUGAAUUGA
RNAcentral lists this ribosomal RNA (504 nucleotides) under uncultured Gammaproteobacteria bacterium. RNAcentral's name for it is "bacterial SSU rRNA". It matches the Rfam family "Bacterial small subunit ribosomal RNA", at positions 417 to 913 of the family's 1533-position model. Lineage: Bacteria; Pseudomonadati; Pseudomonadota; Gammaproteobacteria. The record is from RNAcentral.